Molecule: ribosomal RNA, 429 nt
Filed under: Bacteroidota bacterium
Lineage: Bacteria; Pseudomonadati; Bacteroidota
Description: Bacteroidetes bacterium partial 16S ribosomal RNA
Rfam family: Bacterial small subunit ribosomal RNA
Source: RNAcentral
UAGGGAAUCUUCCGCAAUGGACGCAAGUCUGACGGAGCAACGCCGCGUGAGUGAAGAAGGAUUUCGGUUCGUAAAACUCUGUUGUUAGAGAAGAACAGCGCAUAGAGUAACUGUUAUGCGUGUGACGGUAUCUAACCAGAAAGCCACGGCUAACUACGUGCCAGCAGCCGCGGUAAUACGUAGGUGGCAAGCGUUGUCCGUAUUUAUUGGGCGUAAAGCGAGCGCAGGCGGUCAAUUAAGUCUGAUGUGAAAGCCCCCGGCUCAACCGGGGAGGGUCAUUGGAAACUGGUUGACUUGAGUGCAGAAGAGGAGAGUGGAAUUCCAUGUGUAGCGGUGAAAUGCGUAGAUAUAUGGAGGAACACCGGUGGCGAAAGCGGCUCUCUGGUCUGUAACUGACGCUGAGGCUCGAAAGCGUGGGGAGCGAACAGG